Molecule: ribosomal RNA, 492 nt
Filed under: uncultured bacterium
Lineage: Bacteria
Description: partial 16S ribosomal RNA
Rfam family: Bacterial small subunit ribosomal RNA
Source: RNAcentral
AGUGAACGCUGGCGGUAGGCCUAACACAUGCAAGUCGAACGGCAGCACAGUAAGAGCUUGCUCUUACGGGUGGCGAGUGGCAGACGGGUGAGGAAUACAUCGGAAUCUACUUUUUCGUGGGGGAUAACGUAGGGAAACUUACGCUAAUACCGCAUACGACCUACGGGUGAAAGCAGGGGAUCUUCGGACCUUGCGCGAUUGAAUGAGCCGAUGUCGGAUUAGCUAGUUGGCGGGGUAAAGGCCCACCAAGGCGACGAUCCGUAGCUGGUCUGAGAGGAUGAUCAGCCACACUGGAACUGAGACACGGUCCAGAGUCCUACGGGAGGCAGCAGUGGGGAAUAUUGGACAAUGGGCGCAAGCCUGAUCCAGCCAUACCGCGUGUGUGAAGAAGGCCUUCGGGUUGUAAAGCCCUUUUGUUGGGAAAGAAAAGCAGCAGGUUAAUACCCCGCUGUUCUGACGGUACCCAAAGAAUAAGCACCGGCUAACUUCGUG